CCUACGGGAGGCAGCAGUGAGGAAUAUUGGUCAAUGGGCGGAAGCCUGAACCAGCCAAGUAGCGUGCGGGAUGAAGGCCCUACGGGUCGUAAACCGCUUUUGCACGGGGAUAACACCCUCCACUUGUGGAGGUCUGCAUGUACCGUGCGAAUAAGGGCCGGCUAAUUCCGUGCCAGCAGCCGCGGUAAUACGGAGGGCCCGAGCGUUAUCCGGAUUUAUUGGGCUUAAAGGGAGCGUAGGCGGGCGUUUAAGUCAGCGGUAAAAUCGCGGGGCUGAACCGCGCCCCGCAGUUGAAACUGGACGCCUUGAGUUCACAACAGGCAGGCGGAAUUCGUGGAGUAGCGGUGAAAUGCAUAGAUAUCACGAGGAACCCCGAUAGCGAAGGCAGCCUGCCGGGGUGCGACUGACGCUGAGGCUCGAAGGUGCGGGUAUCAAACAGGAUUAGAUACCCGUGUAGUC
Molecule: ribosomal RNA, 459 nt
Filed under: uncultured bacterium
Lineage: Bacteria
Description: partial 16S ribosomal RNA
Rfam family: Bacterial small subunit ribosomal RNA
Source: RNAcentral